Molecule: unclassified non-coding RNA, 343 nt
Filed under: soil metagenome
Description: partial contains 5.8S ribosomal RNA, internal transcribed spacer 2, and large subunit ribosomal RNA
Rfam family: 5.8S ribosomal RNA (bases 1-120)
Source: RNAcentral
GAUGAAGAACGCAGCGAAAUGCGAUAAGUAAUGUGAAUUGCAGAAUCCAGUGAAUCAUCGAAUCUUUGAACGCACAUUGCGCCCGCCAGCAUUCUGGCGGGCAUGCCUGUUCGAGCGUCAUUUCAACCCUCGACCUCCCCUUGGGGAGGUCGGCGUUGGGGACCGGCAGCACACCGCCGGCCCUGAAAUGGAGUGGCGGCCCGUCUGUGGCGACCUCUGCGUAGUAAUACAGCUCGCACCGGAACCCCGACGCGGCCACGCCGUAAAACACCCAACUUCUGAACGUUGACCUCGAAUCAGGUAGGACUACCCGCUGAACUUAAGCAUAUCAAUAAGCGGAGGA